AUACGUAGGGGGCAAGCGUUAUCCGGAUUUACUGGGUGUAAAGGGUGCGUAGGCGGGACUGCAAGUCAGACGUGAAAUACCGAGGCUUAACCUCGGGGCUGCGUUUGAAACUGUAGUUCUUGAGUGAAGUAGAGGUAAGUGGAAUUCCUAGUGUAGCGGUGAAAUGCGUAGAUAUUAGGAGGAACACCAGUGGCGAAGGCGGCUUACUGGACUGUAACUGACGUUGAGGCUCG
This 233-nucleotide ribosomal RNA is filed under the name uncultured bacterium. RNAcentral's name for it is "partial 16S ribosomal RNA". It matches the Rfam family "Bacterial small subunit ribosomal RNA", at positions 523 to 755 of the family's 1533-position model. The record is from RNAcentral.